UCCGAUAUGGUGUAACGGCUAACAUCGCCGCCUUUCAUGUACUGAAAGUCCAAAGAUCCGCGGCAGCUCGGGGUUCGAUUCCCCGUAUCGGAG
Molecule: non-coding RNA, 93 nt
Organism: Aspergillus steynii IBT 23096
Lineage: Eukaryota; Fungi; Ascomycota; Eurotiomycetes; Eurotiales; Aspergillaceae
Source: the annotation of a RefSeq genome assembly